UGCGCAGGCGGUUAUGUAAGACAGAUGUGAAAUCCCCGGGCUCAACCUGGGAACUGCAUUUGUGACUGCAUAGCUUGAGUGCGGCAGAGGGGGAUGGAAUUCCGCGUGUAGCAGUGAAAUGCGUAGAUAUGCGGAGGAACACCGAUGGCGAAGGCAAUCCCCUGGGCCUGCACUGACGCUCAUGCACGAAAGCGUGGGGAGCAAACA
Molecule: ribosomal RNA, 207 nt
Filed under: uncultured bacterium
Lineage: Bacteria
Description: partial 16S ribosomal RNA
Rfam family: Bacterial small subunit ribosomal RNA
Source: RNAcentral